CACCGGCAGCUCUAGUGGUAGCUGUUUUUAUUGGGCCCUAAAGCGUUCGUAGCCGGUUUGAUAAGUCACUGGUGAAAUCCUGUAGCUUAACUGUGGGAAUUGCUGGUGAUACUGUUGAACUUGAGGUCGGGAGAGGUUAGCGGUACUCCCAGGGUAGAGGUGAAAUUCUGUAAUCCUGGGAGGACCACCUGUGGCGAAGGCGGCUAACUGGAACGAACCUGACGGUGAGGGACGAAAGCUAGGGGCGCGAACCGGAUUAGAUACCCCGGUAGUCCCUGAGCGGGCUGGCAA
This 291-nucleotide ribosomal RNA is filed under the name uncultured prokaryote. Its description in RNAcentral is "partial 16S ribosomal RNA". It matches the Rfam family "Archaeal small subunit ribosomal RNA", at positions 474 to 769 of the family's 1478-position model. The record is from RNAcentral.